Molecule: transfer RNA, 27 nt
Filed under: Asplenium obliquissimum
Lineage: Eukaryota; Viridiplantae; Streptophyta; Polypodiopsida; Polypodiales; Aspleniaceae
Also listed under: 1 other name
Description: partial tRNA-Phe
Source: RNAcentral
GGCCGAGAUAGCUCAGUCGGUAGAGCA